Molecule: long non-coding RNA, 379 nt
Organism: Sapajus apella (tufted capuchin)
Lineage: Eukaryota; Metazoa; Chordata; Mammalia; Primates; Cebidae
Exons: 3
Source: RefSeq, a predicted model, not a curated record
AGGAGCUCAGGACUGUGAAAUACUUGUGUGACUACAAGGUAGUAAAGGAUAUAGAAUGUUAUCUUGUAAAAUGGAAAGGAUGGCCAGGUUCUACAAAUACUUGGGAACCUUUGCAAAAUCUCAAGUGUUGAUUACUGCUUCAGCAAUUCUCUAAUGGCAAGCAUUAAUUAUUUAUCUCAGAUAAAGAAAGGCAAAGCAAUAACUCCAAAAGACAAUAACAAAAUUUUGAAACUUGCCAUUGCUGAGUACAUUGUAAAGAAGGCCCGGGGAGGAUCCAAGAUGGCUGAUUAGGAGCAGCUCAGGAUUGCAGCUUACAGCAAAAGCACGGAGGGUGAGUGGACACCGCAUUUCCACAUGGAUUUUUAUUGCCCACAGACCA